CCUGAGACUGUGACAAUGACCUUCAAAAGUCAAACUUUAUGUUAAGAUUGGCAACAUUCAGGUCUGAUGAGAUUUCUACCAGGCGGGGUUCCUGCCUGUGUUCCCUUCAGGGUUGUUGUUGCGGGCCAGGCACAUCUGCUUCCAAGCACAUGGCUGAGAAAGAAGAGUUACAGUGCCGACAGCUUGGCAGCUGUGCUCAGAGACAAGCUGUUCUUCUGGCGGCUCUGUUUCCAAGAGGCGGUGCACAGGUCCCGCUGGGCAUAAACUGCCCUCAAGCUCAUGUCCCUCUCUGAAACUUGUGGUGCCUGUUCCACUGCAGACCAAUGACAUCUACCCUGCGGUGCUGUUGGGCAGGUUAGAAAUCAUGUAUAAGAGCCUGACAGUCAAUGAAUGAUACCUUUUCUCCUGAC
This 410-nucleotide long non-coding RNA is filed under the name Chinchilla lanigera (long-tailed chinchilla). RNAcentral's name for it is "lncRNA (ENSCLAG00000022415.1)". Lineage: Eukaryota; Metazoa; Chordata; Mammalia; Rodentia; Chinchillidae. The record is from RNAcentral.